UGGUUUAGUGGUAGAGUGCUUGCCUAGCAUGCAUGAAGCCCUGGGUUCAAUUCCUAG
Molecule: transfer RNA, 57 nt
Filed under: Dipodomys ordii (Ord's kangaroo rat)
Lineage: Eukaryota; Metazoa; Chordata; Mammalia; Rodentia; Heteromyidae
Rfam family: tRNA
About the family: Transfer RNA (tRNA) molecules are approximately 80 nucleotides in length. Their secondary structure includes four short double-helical elements and three loops (D, anti-codon, and T loops).
Source: Rfam by way of RNAcentral